UGGUCUAUCCUUCACUCGGUUCUUGACAUUGUUUGCGUUUUCUAAAGUAAGUCUGGCACACGAGGUGCCCUCAUGGGUGUAGAUUUAUCCAUUGGCUACCCAUUGGAACAUCACUUGCAGGACUCUCUAUUUAAAUGCAAAAUUGAUGUACUACUUUUUUCUUAAUUGUAUUUAGUAAGGAUUACUUUAUCCAUACAUUGUUGGCAUACAAAUGAUGCUUAGUCUUGUGGAAGACUUCCUGCAUUAGGAGACACUUUCCCCAGAUCCAAUUCGUCGAUGGAGUUAGAUCAAUUCCGUACAACAGAGUCUUAGGUAAUUUAUGUUCUAACCAUGUUAUUAUUAUUGCAAAACCAAAUAGGGAUGCUUAAUCUGAGCUAUUUCUCACCCCAUUUCCUCUAGGUCUCUGCAAAUUAUUGUUUGUCUUUUGAGGUGAAUGCAACUGCUGGUCAUGCUUUAACCACAUGUCAAUUGCAGGAGUGCGACAACGCCAUCCUAUUCCACAAACCAUCUGAAGAAUGAUGGGUGCUGUAAUCCCAUGCUUGCUAGAGUGCUAGAUGGAUUUAAUAAACUCUUUCGUGCUCAUCUUUUGGCCUGAAACACUAAAAACUAAACUGCCCUAGUAGUGAGCAAUGAUUAAUAAAAUGGAGUUCAUUUGAUCCAUCUGAUAAAAAUAACUAUGGGCGAAUAAGAAUGAAAAGUAAUCACAUGUUGUUUCUGCAGUGGAAUUCAGGUAUACCCUCUCCUCUAUUUAUUUGACUCUUGUUAGAUUGGUUCAUCUUGGUCUGACGUGUUAAUGGAGUUAUUUCAUUCCUCACAUGAUCCCUUUCAAUUGGAUCAGUUAUCCUUAUUUGGUUACUCUAUAUUCCCUACAUAUAUCUUUAUUAUGUUCAUCGAGACUUUAGAGUAAGACAUUUAUUUUGCUCAUAUUACCUUCAAGGUAACAUGGUACCUACAACGCAGGGGGACUCAUGGCAAUCAGUUCUAAUUUAUAAAUCCAAUUAAGUGUAAGCUUCUCUGUUGUCUGUACUGCAGUCGUGAUGAUCAGAAGUUCAGGACCCCACUGUAGGUAGGAAAAAAAGAUUAAUCUUGGUAAGAUACAGUCUUCUGAUCACAAUCUUACUUUUUUUGUUAUUAGUGCUUCCAUUACUUUCUAUUUAAAUAUGCACAAUGGGAUAGGGAGUGGACCCUUUUAGUAAGUUAUAUGUAUAAUUGGAGAUUACUGGAUUUUCUCAUUGUUAUCUGGUUAGUUAUCCCUCACAAAAUCAAGUGAUAAUAUAUGCAGUAUGUAUAAGACUAGGAGUAUUGGAUGGUUGUGAUUCGGGAGUGUGUAUUUUGAUCGAAGUUUGUAGUACGUAUAGGGUGAUAGAUACGUUGGGUAGGAACUUCUGCUCUAAUUUACUAUGGUUGUAGUUAAAUUUAUUUUUGGUUGAAUCGUGUCCUUCACAUAGAUCUUAAUUUACUGGAUAAAUUAUACAAUAAAGUGGUUUGUGAUUUUUUGGUUUUACACUAUCCAUCAUAAUAAAUGAACUUAUUAUUCGCACUUCAGAUAUCAUGUAAAUUUUUAUGAUCUCUGAACUUCUCAUGUACUAUUAGUCCAAAUCAAUUUGAAAAUCCAAUGAACUUCUAUAGGUUCUAUUAUUUUUUCAAACAUGAGCAUUGCUGGUUAAUAAAUUGAUUUACAUUAAUUUCUCAAAAGGGGGCCGCACACAUGUCCUGGUGCUUAAUGCUUUUAGAAAGGGUUUAUGUAAUUUUGGUAGUAUAAAAGUAACCCAAGUUCUUUAGUAUUAUCCAGAGCUGGGAUAUGUAAAUGUAUAAACACAGGGUAGAAGGUCAGUCAACUUGUGUCCCAACCAUCUAAUACUCAUAGCUAACUUCAUUGCCUCCAUUGUUAGGGUAAAAUCUGGAGCCGCAAAUGGAGCAAUUACUAACCAUCAGUUCAUAGAAACACAAUCUGACCUGAAGUUACAACAUAGUCAACGAUGAUAUACUGACAUGCCAUGACUACCUGAUAAGAAGAAAGCAGAAUAUCUAAAGAAGGAAUACAUAUCCCACUAGCAAGAGAAAUUUGUGGCGGCCAGUGAAAAUAUCGAUGGACCUAGCUCAAAACCCCACAACUUUAUU
Molecule: long non-coding RNA, 2121 nt
Filed under: Triticum aestivum (bread wheat)
Lineage: Eukaryota; Viridiplantae; Streptophyta; Magnoliopsida; Poales; Poaceae
Description: long non-coding RNA (TAES_LNC019763)
Source: RNAcentral